This 253-nucleotide ribosomal RNA is filed under the name uncultured bacterium. RNAcentral describes it as "partial 16S ribosomal RNA". It matches the Rfam family "Bacterial small subunit ribosomal RNA", at positions 524 to 776 of the family's 1533-position model. The record is from RNAcentral.
UACGGAGGGUGCAAGUGUUAUCCGGAUUCACUGGGUUUAAAGGGUGUGUAGGCGGGCUGUUAAGUCAGUGGUGAAAUCUCCGGGCUCAACCCGGAAACUGCCAUUGAUACUAUCAGUCUUGAAUAUCGUUGAGGUUGGCGGAAUAUAUCAUGUAGCGGUGAAAUGCAUAGAUAUGAUAUAGAACACCGAUUGCGAAGGCAGCUAACUAAGCGAUGAUUGACGCUGAGGCACGAAAGCGUGGGGAUCAAACAGG